This 423-nucleotide ribosomal RNA is filed under the name uncultured prokaryote. RNAcentral describes it as "bacterial SSU rRNA". It matches the Rfam family "Bacterial small subunit ribosomal RNA", at positions 355 to 774 of the family's 1533-position model. The record is from RNAcentral.
UCGAGGAUAUUUAGCAAUGGACGAAAGUCUGACUAUGUGACGCCGCGUGAGGGAUGAAGGUCUUCGGAUCGUAAACCUCUUUCGAUAGGGAAGAAAACCUGUUCUUAACGGAACAGACUGACGGUACCUAGAGAAGAAGCCACGGCCAACUCUGUGCCAGCAGCCGCGGUAAUACAGAGGUGGCGAGCGUUACUCGGAUUUAUUGGGUGUAAAGGGCAAGUAGGCGUCUUGACAAGUUAGGGGUGAAAUCCUGCAGCUUAACUGCAGAACUGCUCUUAAAACUGUUGAGAUUGAGACUGGAAGAGGAAAGCGGAAUUCUCGGUGUAAGAGUGAAAUCUGUAGAUAUCGAGAGGAACACCAGUGGCGAAGGCGGCUUUCUGGUCCAGUACUGACGCUGAGUUGCGAAAGCUAGGGGAGCAAACA